UUUGCUGAAUGUGGGGAUAAUUUAUCUCUGUGUUGUAGCUAACGCGUUAAGCACUCCGCCUGGGGACUACGGUCGCAAGACUAAAACUCAAAGGAAUUGACGGGGACCCGCACAAGCGGUGGAGCAUGUGGUUUAAUUCGAUGCAACGCGAAAAACCUUACCACUCCUUGACAUGGAGAUUAGAUCCUUCUUAACGGAAGGGCGCAGUUCGGCUGGAUCUCGCACAGGUGCUGCAUGGCUGUCGUCAGCUCGUGUCGUGAGAUGUUGGGUUAAGUCCCGCAACGAGCGUAACCCUCAUCCUUAGUUGCCAGCGGGUUAAGCCGGGCACUUUAAGGAAACUGCCAGUGGUAAACUGGAGGAAGGUGGGGAUGAUGUCAAGUCAGCACGGCCCUUAUGGGGUGGGCUACACACGUGCUACAAUGGUGACUACAAUAGGUUGCAAUGUCGCAAGGCUGAGCUAAUCCGUAAAAGUCAUCUCAGUUCGGAUUGUCCUCUGCAACUCGAGGGCAUGAAGUCGGAAUCGCUAGUAAUCGUGGAUCAGCAUGCCACGGUGAAUACGUUCUCGGGUCUUGUACACACUGCCCGUCACGCCAUGGGAAUUGGCUUAACUCGAAGCUGGUGCGCUAACCGAAAGGAAGCAGCCAAU
Molecule: ribosomal RNA, 646 nt
Filed under: Anaplasma phagocytophilum
Lineage: Bacteria; Pseudomonadati; Pseudomonadota; Alphaproteobacteria; Rickettsiales; Anaplasmataceae
Description: bacterial SSU rRNA
Rfam family: Bacterial small subunit ribosomal RNA
Source: RNAcentral